RNAcentral lists this transfer RNA (70 nucleotides) under Mastacembelus erythrotaenia (fire eel). Its description in RNAcentral is "tRNA-Arg". It matches the Rfam family "tRNA". Rfam says of the family: Transfer RNA (tRNA) molecules are approximately 80 nucleotides in length. Their secondary structure includes four short double-helical elements and three loops (D, anti-codon, and T loops). Lineage: Eukaryota; Metazoa; Chordata; Actinopteri; Synbranchiformes; Mastacembelidae. The record is from RNAcentral.
AGGUAUUUAGUGUUAAUAAAAACAUUUGAUUUCGGCUCAAAAAACUAUGGUUCAAGCCCAUAACUACCUA